AAUCGUGUGGACAUCACUGGGAAUGGAGGGAAAUAACUGACUGUAUGAUCGUUGCUUUUUAAGUUUCAAACUGACAUUCCAGGCGGGCUGUUGCUUGAGUGAGCAUCUGUCUUCAGAAUUUCACAGUGGGUUCCUGGGAAGGUGGAAGCCUCUCCCUGAUGGGUGAAGUGAGGAGCAGGAGGGGACCGACACGACAGAGGUGUGCAGCCUCCAGCAUCUCCUCCUUUGUGAACUGGAUCCUCCCCAAGGAGACUACGAGAUGAAGGACUUGGGGCCCCCAGUGGAUGUGGAUGAGAGUGUCUCUGGUCUGAGCUCUGUGCUGGGCUCAGGGGACAGAAGACAAAGCCCAAAGCAGCCCUGAUCCCUGCCCGAGGGAGGGGUGCAGAGAGUGCCUACGUGGAGGGGAAGUGAUUCCUUGCAGCCAGAGUCAGCUUCACCAGGCUCCUAAUCCAGAGGCAAGCCAGCUAAUACUUAGGGAGACACUGCAGAGACCUCUGGGCCCCUCAUAGGGUAUUUUUAAAUCAAGGACUCAAUUAUGGAUCACUGCCAAAGAAAAACAAAAUAUCCUGCCACCCUGGGAGAUGAAGUGAUGGUUUUUAUUUUUACUAGUAGAUUGUUCCAUUUAUAAAUCUUUGAUAAAUCCUUUUGCCCAGCCACACAGCAUCUGAACCUCUCCGGAAUUUACAAAAAAUAAAAACGUGAAAUCUGACAAAGGAAUGAGAGCUGGCCUUCCGUGCAUCCCAGAGCUUUAGAGCUUCUCAGGCUACAGCUCUGUGCGUUGCAUCUGUUAAGCCCCUGCUGGGUUGCAUCAUAUUUUGCAAAGCCACACGUGCUCUCUGAGGGCGACAGGAGCUAGCUCCCGUCCACCAGCUGGAAUCUCAGAGAGCGCAGUCUCUAAAAAUACCCAACUCUGCAGACUCACGCGGGGCCCAGGGGGCUUCUAGAUUGACAGGUCCCUUUAAGCAAAAACGUGGGUUUAAAAACAAAAAUCAGCAAGUCUUUUCCGCAUUGAUUGAUUUUUAGCUCCGGAGAGUUUUCGCAGGUCAUUUUCGGAGUAAUGGAAACUCCCCGGAAUUAUUUUAGGAAAAGUUAAAACGGGGCAAAGUGGAGCCAGCAGCCAGGCUUUGUCAGGGUCUGGGGCAUCUCCAGCGAGCGAGACGGAAGCCCAGCUUCACCGUGGCCAAGGUCACGGAGGGCGAGGCUGCGCCAGAACCUCUGCGCUGUGGGGCACAGACGGGAACGCGCUCGGCCGGCAGGUCAGAGGAGCUGCGCGCCUGCCCCUUCCAUCCUAGCGCGGAGGCUUCCUUCCCCCGGGCAUCCCCGGAGGGCAGGGGCCUGGUAUGGAACUUUAUGGUUGCUACGUGUAAGGGAGAAAACCGUGUCCAGAUCCCCCGAAAUGCACACAGCCGUGGGUGCGCAAGGUGGCACAACCGGAUGUGUGUGAAUUGUUCCCCCAGCGAUAUACAGAAUGAGGUUUUUUGGGGGAAAUACCUCCUCCUAGUCUCAUCGCUUCCAAAGACAGAAAAACCACAGGGUUCCUGGUAGAAGGGCGUUGGCUUUAUCAGCUUAGAGCAGGUCCUUCCUGGCCUCAGCCCCGCAGUAGAGACACAGUCAGACAGAAACGCACAGCUCAGGUGCUGACACACAUCCAGAGCUGUGUUCAAUCCUCAGAACGCCGUUCGGAAGAGGUUGGUGAGUCGCGGUGCCUUCUGCCUCUCUUUCGUUUAGUUGGGCACUGUGCCGAAUUUGAAGUCAUCUGAAUCCAAGGACAAGCCAAAAAAAAAAAAACCAAAAAAAAACCCCACAACCGGGUCGGUCCUGAACACAUCAUACUAACUUCAUAAUCUGGUGCCUCCAAGAAAACUCCAUCAGAGAGAUUGUUUCUAAGCUAGAUCCACUCCAGAUUGCUUGGCACAAGAAGCUCACUACUGCUGGAGGUGGCCUUAUGUGACACUGGAAAGCUAGCUUUACCAUGGCCCUGUGGAGUGGCAGUUGGGCAGGGAAGAAAUUCAGACAGUUCCUCCAAUGGAUUCUUUGGACAGGAUUUGAAAAGAUCUGGUCAGUGAUUGAUCACCCCAUCAUUUCUGUAAAAUCCAGGAGCCAUGUGUGAGAAUUCCAGUUGCUCCCCAUCCUGGCCAGAACUUACUGCCAUCAGUCUUUUCUGUCCUAGUCAUUCUAAUGGGUGCAUAGUAAGAUCUUUAAAAUUGUUGCCCAUUUUUAACUGGGUUGUUUGUUUUCUUAUUAUUGAAUUUUAGGAUUUCUUUAUAUAUUAUGGACAUAAGCCUCUUAGUAGACCUAUGUUUUGCAAAUGUUUUCCCUCAGAUUAUGUCUUUUCCUUUUCUUAACAGUGGCUUUUUGUUUUCAAUCUUGAAGAAGCCCAAUUUAUCAUUUUCUUCUUUUACGAAUUAUGCUUUUGGCAUUGCAUCUAAGAAAUCUUUGCCUAGCCCAAGGUCAUGAAGCUUUUCUUCUAGAAGCUAUAGAUAUUUCAUUCUGUGAUGAUUCAUUUUUAGUUAAUUUUUGUAAAUGAUACAAGGUACAGAGCUAAUGUCACUUUUUUGGCCUGUGAAUAUCCCAGUGUCCCCUCAGCAUUUGUUGAAAAGAUGAUCAUUUCUCCACUGCAUUGCUUUGCACCUUUGUUAAAAUGAAGUUUUUUCCGUGUAUGAGUGAGUCGCUAUUUGGAUUUACUUUUGAUUCUGAAGUUCCAUUGGUGUUUGUGCUUAUCUUUAUUCCACUGUCCUGAUUAUUGUAGCUUUGUAAUAAGUUAUGAAAUCAUGUGAUGGAAAUUCUUCAACUUUUGCUUUUACAAAGUUGUUUUGAUGACUCUAAGUCCUCUGCAUUUCUGUAGGAAUUUCAGAAUCAGCUUGUCCAUUUCUACCAAAAACCCUGCUGAAAUUUUGAUCAGAAUUACAUUGAAUCUAUAGAUCAAUUUUGUGAGAAUUUAUACCUUAAAAAUAUUGAGCCUUCUGGAGUUUCCAUCAUGGCUCAGUGGAAACGAAUCUGAGUAGCAUCCAUGAAGAUGCAGGUUCGAUCCCUGGCCUUGCUCGGUGGGUUAAGGAUUUGGUGUUGCCGUGAGCUGUGGUGUAGGUCAUAGACGUGGCUUGGAUCCUGUGUUCCUGUGGCUGUGGUGUAGGCUGGCACCUGCAGCUCCAGUUUGAUCCCUAUCCUGGGAACUUCCCACGGGUGUGGCUCUAAAAAGACAAAGUAUAUAUAUAUUGAGCCUUUUAACCCAUGAACACAGCAUCUGAUUUAUUUAGGUUCUCUUUAAUUUCUCUCAGCAACAUUGUAAAACUUUUGAUGCAUAGAUACUGUCCAUCUUCGUCAGAUUUAUCCUAAAUAUUUUAUACGUUUUGAUAGUAUUGUAUUAAAAUUUCAAUUUUACUGUUGUACAUUGCAAGCAUACAAAAAUACAACUGACUUCUUUUGUACAUUAACCUUUUAUCCUGUGUCUUUACUAAAGUCACUUUUUACAUUCUAGUAGCUUUUUGUUGCCAUAGGAUUUUCUACAUAGAUUUUCAUGUCAUCUGAAAAAAGUAAACAGCUUUACUUUUGUACCAUUCUGGAUUUUUAAAUUUCUUAUUUCUUGCCAUAUUGCAGCGGAUUAAAUCUUCAGUACAAUGUAAAAUAGACUCUGUGAGAGUUUCUGAUUUUAGGAGGAAAGUAUUCAGUCUCUCUUUCAUCGCUAUUAGUCUAUUUCAUCAACAUUAAAGAUGUUAGCUGUUAGUUUUUAGUAGAUUCCCCUUAACAGAUCGAGAAAGUGCGCAUCUCUCAGUUUGCUGAGAUUUUCUAGCAGGAAUAUUUGUCGUAUUUUAUUAAAUGGCUUUUCGUAAACUUAUAUAGUUUCCAAGUGUCUCAUUUCUAAGUUUGUCACAUACAGAACACAUCUCUUUUUACAUUCCUUUACUUUACCUGAUUAUAACAUAAUUGUCUUCAAGAUUUUUCUUCUACAUACAUUUAGAAUCACUUUAGCCGUGUUAUAGUUUUUGCCUCAACCAUCAACAUAUUUUGGAAAAAUUCAGAGGAAAAGGAAAAUCCAUUGUAUUUACCAAUAUUACCAAUAUUGGGUAUUGUGUUGUUUAAUGUGUUGUUUCUUGUGCUUAUUGUGUUGUUUCUUCCGUAAGGAGGUUCCCGUAGUCUUUCUUUCAUUGUUUCUUUUCUGUUUAGGAAACUUCUUAUAGCCAUUCUUAUUGGUAUAUCUGCUAGUAACAAAUAUUCUUAGUUUUUGUUUUUCUGAAAGUAUCUUCAUCUGCUAUUCAUUUCUGAAGGAUCCUUUGCUGGAAAGGACCGUUCAGCUGAAUAUAGGAUUCUGAGUCAGCCGUUCGUUCUUCUCUUUCAGCACUUAAAAGUACUCUGGCCUCCAUGGAUUCUAAUGCAAAUUUGCUGUCAUUCAAAAAUAUUUCCCCAUAGGUUGUGUCAUUUCUCUCUAUUUUAGAUACAUGUACAUAUUCUUUUUGUUUUUCCAGAGUUUGACUAUGCUGUGCCUUGAUAUAGAUUUCUUUAGGUUUAUUCUGUUUGAAGUUUACUCAGCUUCUUAUAUCUGUGUGUUUAUGGUUUUGUUUUUGUAAAAUGUUGAGUGCUUUAAGCCCAUAUUUGAGUAAUUUCUCAGUUCUGCCCGCUUUUCCUUUCCUUCCAGAAUGCCCAUGUUACAGAAGUUGGAUCUUUCGUUAUAGCCCCUGAGGCUCUGUUCCUUUUUUUUUUCCCCUCACAACCCAUUUUCUUCUCUCUGUUGUCCAGGUUGGAUAUUAAAUGCUGUCCUAGCCUCCCAUUCACUGUGUUCUUCUAUUUUGCUAGGGGGUGCCUCCCUUCAGGUCAGUUUUUUUGGUUGCUGUUGUUAUGAGUGUAUUUUCCAGUUAUAAAAUUGCCAUUUAGUGCUUUAUAUUUUCUCUCUCUUGCCUGGGACUUCCUACUUUUUAUUUCCAGAGUAUUUGUCAUUGUUCUUUGAAGCAUUUUAAUGGUGGUUGCUUUAAAAUAUUUCUCAGGUAAUUCUAGCAUCUGUCAUCUUGCUGUUAACAUCUGUUAAUGGGCUCCCUUCAUUCAGUUUGAGAUUGUCCUGGUUCUUGGCAUGAUGAGCAAAAUUCUACUGAAACCUUCACAUUUAGGAUAUUAGGUUAUCAGACCUCAUAUCUUAUUUGAAUCUGUUUUCACUAUCUUCCUCUGACACUGUAGAGGAAAGUGGGGGGCAGCAAGGUGUUGCCUCAUUAUUGCCGGGGGUGGGGUGGUAGAAGUCUGGGUCCCCACCCCCCUGCUUGGCCUCUGUUGACACUGGAGGAUGGCGGGUGGUCUCCAUCCUCCUGCUGGGUGGGGGGUUGAACUUCUGGCUUCCCAACAGGCUUCCACUGGUAGCUCCCCCAUGUGGCGGUGUCUGAGUGCCUCACCUGGCCUUGUCACAACCACCAAGAGGUAAAGCUGGUCCUGGUUCCCUACUGGACCUCCUGAUACCACCCUUGCUGGUGGGGAAGGAGCUCUUCUGGUGCCAUGUGGGAAGCCAGGUGGGGAUGGGAGUCCAGGUCCCCCCAUGAGGUCUCUGCUGACACAGGAGACGUUCAUUAUCCCUUUUGGGUAAGGAUGAAAAUUUCAGCUCCCUAGCUCAGCCUUCUCAAACAUCACCCCAGGUGGGAGGCCGUAGGGUGGGUGGGGCACCUAGUUACAGCCUAAUGAGGGUGAACUUCAGGAUUUUGCUUUGGGAGGUGGGCCCGCAGUAUUUUCCAUGGUGCCUGGCUCACGUGGACCAGCUGUUGCCUAAAACCUUUCUUUCUUGCGGGGCUGCUUGCUCCAGACCCUGGGCUAUAGAGAGCAGGCUUCAUGGGGUUUCUUCUUCAUCUGCUCUCUUUUGGCAUUUCUGAGUUCCUGGCUUCUUCUGGGCCUCGUCUGGGAUACAGGCGACAAAAAGAAACCAGCGUUCUCACUACUUUGUUCUACGAGUUCCGAGGUCCCUGUUGGUCCGUCUUCUGUCCACCUUCCAGCAUCGUCUUAUGUUUGUUCUGUAUAGAAUGUCCAGGGUUUUGUUUGUUUUGUUUUUUGUUUUUUGGUUUUAGUGGGAGGAAGCAGGAGGAAGGGAUAAGUCUGUCUGUUCUGACUUCCUCGGAGUGAAAGUUCUCAUCUCACUUUGGGAUGCAUUUCAAAGUAAGUUGCAAAUAGUCACCCUUUAAUACCUCAGCCUGAAUUACAGUUCAGUAUUUAUAGACAUCUUUCUUUUUUAAUGUAAAAACCAUGCAUUCAUUCCAAUGCACGCAUCAUCAGUGGACCAUUUGAUGAGUGUAACCCGCCCUCUAUCAAGAUACAGAGCUGGCCCAUCACCUGAGAAGCUCCCUCAUCCUUUUCCCCAGUCAAUCCCUGUCUUCCCCUAGAGGCAAACAUUGUUUUUGUUAACAUCCUGGAUUAGUUUUCUUUGUUCCAGACUGUCACAUGAAAGGAAGCAUGCAUCAGACACUCCUGAUGCUUUCUUCUCUCUACAUAAUGUUUUGAGAUCUAUCUGUAUUUUGUCUUCCAUUCCUUCUUCCUGUGGAGCUGGAUUCCAUUGCACAAAUAUAUGGAUGGGUGUUGACCCAUCCUCCUAUUGAUGGAGACCCGACCUCUUUCCAGGCUUUGACAGAUCCAAGUAAAACAAAGGAGAGCCCUUUUAAUUGGGAGCAUUUUUGAAAUGACCUGAACAAACCUGCCCUGGGAUGAGCAGGGAUGACUCAGACCUCUGCCCAGCGUAGCUGGCAUUCUGCUAGGGACAGGGAGACACAACGAACUAAAUAAGAAGUAGCCAAAUGACAUGGGCUAGCAGUGCAUGCUAGGAAGGAAGGAUAAAGCUGGGUCCAUGGGUGGGGCUGACAGGUGGCCCAAGGGUAGGUAGGGUAUCAUUUGAGCUCUGAAGGCAAAGGGAGGACUUAGGGGAAGGCAGGGAGGAUUCUUGGAGAAGGUGAGGUUGGAAGACCCAAGGACCUUUUUAAAAGUCUGUGUCUUUAAAGCUCCUCAUGCCUGGCAAUUUAUGCACUUCAGAAGUGUCUUCCUGAAGCUCCUGC
Molecule: long non-coding RNA, 7007 nt
Filed under: Sus scrofa (pig)
Lineage: Eukaryota; Metazoa; Chordata; Mammalia; Artiodactyla; Suidae
Description: lncRNA (ENSSSCG00030061796.1)
Source: RNAcentral